GUGCAGAUGCUUGCCUUACACGGUACAGGUGACUGUUGCUGACUGCAGCAGGUACGGAGCGGUCGCUCCCAGCCAGAGCACUGCAGUCUGUCUUUUUAAAGACAAAGGACCUUUGCUGAGGGCAGUCCCACGCUGCUGUGUGUUGCAGUGCUGCCAAUUUGAAUGGCUCCUCAGGAAAGCACUUAGCCUCAGAGGCAAGACCAAAGUGAUGCUCUGCAGUCCCACGGAUGAGCUGGAAGUGGCUGGUGAGCACCCGGUGUGUGGAAACCACAGCCCAGCACGACAGGCUCUUUUGUGGGUAGUUCAUAGCCCUUGUUGAGAACGGCAGGACUGGGACACGGAGGGGCCGUGCUCAGCCUCCUUGCGUGAGCAGAUGAUUUUCGUCUGCUCUGCUCAGCAACGUGGCAGAGAGCAGGGGCUGGGUACAGCCCUGGGCUGCCCUGUAAAGGCUCGGGGGACAUCUGAUGAGAUGCAUUAUAUUUUCCAAAUCGUUCUCGCUUCUCUGUGCUUUUACUUUCCCUCUGUAUUUGUAUCUAAUACAGCAGCAGCUGGCUGCUCUCUCGCUGUCUGACUUCCAAAGAUCUCCAGUUCUGGCCUAGCUGUGCAGAAGGAGCCCCCAAUAGCCUACACCAGUGAUUUUUUCCUGUGUGACCUCUCCUUCCCCUCCAGUCUUCAAAACCCAGAUGCUCUGGUGGAGUUUAGAUGCCCUACAGAGGUCCAAUCUAAAGAGCUGAAGUGACAGAGAAUCUGUUGCAUCCUCAGGUAAAUUGUUCCAGUGAUUAAUUAAUUACCUUAACUGUUCUGCACCAAGAACAAUUUUAUUUCUCUGUAGAAAGGCCUUUGGUUUCCAGCCACUGGAUCUCAAGAUGCCUUCUUCUGUCAGAUUAAAGAGCCUCAUCUUAUUACUCCUCUCUCUGUGUAGGCACUUGUUGACCACUCUCAAGUCACCUCUUAACCUUCCCAGGGACAGACUAAAUGGAUUGAAUGUCUCUAGUUCCCUGCUGUAAGGGAGGUUUAUCAGCCUCCCAUUCUUCUUGCUUCUGCCUGCUGAAGCCACUCCAAUUUGUUCUCGUCCUCUUUUCCAGCUGGAUACAGCAGGGGCUUGUGCAGUCUUUCAUGUCUUCUACCACUGCUAAAAAGCUUCUAGCCGUCCACUGAGCCUUGCCCUGCUCUGUGCAUCCCAGGGCUGAAUUUGUCCUCAGUUACUGCCGCAUCUGGGGUGAGGCUGAGCCCUUAGUCCCUCUCCAGUGUCCCCAUAAGAAUGGGAUGGGGAGCAUGGAGAGGCCAGUCCCAAGCUCGGGAUCAGCCUAUUGUGGCCCAAGGGGUUUUUCUGCCUCUGUUUUGGCAUCUGUCCUGGCUAUGCAAGAAGAAAAGGAAGGUCCUGAUACAGGCAGCUGUGCCGGGUGGGGAAGGAGGGACAGGGGAGCUGGGGAGCUUGGCUGUGUUUGGAGUCUGCUCACACAAGAGUUCACCAGCUCCAAGUGAGUGUAAUUGCGGAGACAAAGUAGGAGCAGCCUGAAAAUCACAGGGACAGCAUAACUUCCAGCUGAGGAGAAAAGGGCCUUUACGAGGUCUUGAACCAGUGUCCUUACGUGCGUUGUGCUGCGGUGUGAUGUGUGAGCACUCAGCCACUCCACCGCCAGUUAGAAAUGAGAAAUUUCAAGGGCUAUUGAGCACUCUGUGAAUUUUCACAGUGGCUCAGCGCAAAGUUAUUUAGCACAGGUGUUUUGGUAAUUGUGAUGCAUUGGGAAAAUUCACAGUGCUCAAUGGCCCUCAAACUUCCACCUGCUUGGUGUGGUGGUUAAGUAUUAGUGCAGUGGAUUAUAAGAUAAAAUAUGCAGGAGAGACUUGCUGGCUGCAGGACUUUUUCUGGCACUGGUUAUACUUCUUUGUUAUUCUAUGAUCGGUUUGUUUAACUGAUGUAUAUUAGGAGGACGGCAAGUAGACUUCGGUGGCUCUUAAAGUUGAGUGUUUUGCACCUAGUAAACCUGAUGGGUCCCUGUCCCCCCACAGCCCUGAGCGAGAGCGCUGUGGAGAGGAAAGGGGUCUCCAGACCGCAGCCCUGGCUGUGCUCAGCAGCUCUGGAGCUCCCGUUCUGCGGCUGCAUAGCUCCCGAAAAUGCCCAACCGUGAGCCCUGGGAAGGGGGAGAGGGAAGAAGAGGGACCUCUGCCCACACUUCUCUAAAUGUAUACAACUGUAGAGGGCCUACGAGUCCUAGGUAAGUUUUCUUUUAAUUAUCACUUUCCAAGUCACCUCUGCUCCCAUGCUGACUGUGCUAGCAGGGACCCUUUGGGGAGGACGCUCUAUCUGUCCUUUCAGGCACAAAUUAAUUGAUUAGGCAUCUUUGCAAGGAUGUGAUGUGGCCAAGUACAAAGAGUCAGAAGAAAGCUUUAAUUUUACUUUUACUUCAGCCCUGACAUUGGAACAUUGUGGCAAACACAAAUGCUGAACUGAUGACACAGGCCAUUAUUACGAAGUAAUUAAAUACAGAAAAUAUUGUUCUCCGCUGUCUCCUAAGCGGAAUUGUCAGACUGAUCCUGCAAGCUUUACGGAUUUUGCUGUGCUAUGGAUGGGCAGCUAAAGCAAAAGGACCUGCGACAAUGUGGGAUGGCUGAGCUUGUUGGCUGCUGCCAUUUGCAGAGCAAACUGAUUUUUCAUUUUUUAGGUUUUGGUGCUCAAUGGAUAUUAGCAAUGUGAUUCCCCGCCUUCCCCAGGUUUUCUCCCAGACAAACACAUGUAGCUAACUGGCUUUGUUCCACCCAGUUCUCCAUAUAUUCGCCCCAAGCCCAGUUAUCAAGGGAACGUGCCUGCACACAACCAUUGAAUCAAAGUUUUCAAAGAAGGGAGAGUUCAACAUCUGAAAGCAAAAGGCGAUAAACAAGAAUGCCCUGAAAAUCCCAGACCUGUGCCGGGAAAGGGGAAGGGUAUUUGGGUCGGCUGAGACCCCGUCGCUGUAUUCACGCAUGGAGGUGUAAGCGGAGGCACAGGUGGGACUUUGGUGAUGAAAAAACAAAACCACAACAGUCAAGGUUUGUCAUGAGCACAAUUCAGCCACCUUCAAGAGUGUCCAGAAGAUGAAAAGCCGGUGCAUGACUAGAGGGUCCUGCCACGAAAUGCAAGUAAAGUUAAUGGAUGGAUUUUAUUUUGAGCUUAUUGAAACAUUUCAGAAUUCCCAUUUCUCACAAGAUUUCAAAUGGAAGUUUCAGAUGUCUCCUCCUCACUUCACUUUGUCCUCAGUCUCCUCUAUCCCUCUCACACCAUGUUUUUUGGUGUUAUUAACAUGUAAAUUAAGCUCAUUUAUAGAAAGUAACAUCUUGACAAGUUGACAAGUGUUGCAUAUGACAAGCGUUUGGGUUGGGAGUCGUUUCUGUUUCCACAAUUGCUAUUGUUCCUAUUGGGAUGGAAACGUAGCCAUGCGCAGCAAUGGUCUGGAUGCCUAUGCUGCAUUUAGUCCCAGUUCAUUUGGAAAUACGCAGCUGGGAUACUGUGCUGGAUGUAGUCAUCAGUGUCUGUGCAGGGUCUCUCCAGGUCCUACCAAAGCCAGCAGAUGAUCUGCUUUGUUGCUGCUACUGGAAUCAGGUUUGGACCUGGGUGUUGCAUAGCAACCCUAAAUUAUUAUAAGAACCCUCAAAAGGGUAUUAAUGCUACUCAUAAAUAAAUACAGUUUGUCUCACUCCUGUUUAUGAAUGUUUUUCAUGCCGUUCCCCAGCUGAGUGAAGGCUUUCAUCUUCCCAAACAAUGAAAUUCAAGUUACUGCCAGCUGACUGGUAGCUCUCGCUCAGUGGCACAGCGGCUGUAAUUAGUCUUUUCCAGUGCAUACUUCUUGGCUUUCAUUUUAAGGAGGACUUGACUUUAACUUGUUGCUUGUUACUCACAGCUGACCAGGCUCAGUUCCCAUUUGUGAAAUGGGUUUCCCGCCAAGCGUUAGGAGAGGUCGUGUUUCAGGUGUGGGUGCUUCCUGCGUGGAUCCUCGUUCCCGGCUGGAAAGUGCUUACAGCUCAUCUGUCUUCACUUCUUCUAGGAAAAAUCAUCCCUGAAAGCCAGGAAUAUAUUUUGCCUUUUUCUCCGACUCUUUGAAAGCUGUCAGUACUAAUUUAAUUAGUUGGUGCAUAAUCACAGUUUAUCAUUUCCAAGUCUAAUAUAUUAUAAUGUUGUUUAUAUUGAUUUGAUGAUU
Aquila chrysaetos chrysaetos is the source of this 4175-nucleotide long non-coding RNA. RefSeq lists it as uncharacterized. The transcript is spliced from 3 exons. NCBI's taxonomy places the organism in Eukaryota, Metazoa, Chordata, Aves, Accipitriformes, Accipitridae. The record is from RefSeq and is a predicted model, not a curated record.